Nicotiana tabacum (common tobacco) is the source of this 2366-nucleotide non-coding RNA. Lineage: Eukaryota; Viridiplantae; Streptophyta; Magnoliopsida; Solanales; Solanaceae. The record is from RefSeq and is a predicted model, not a curated record.
UUGAAAAAACACCUUAUCCCCAGAAAAAAGGAGGUGUGACAACAGUGAUCAUGAGGAACAACAAGAAGAGAGAACUACUCUGACUGCUAAUCAGACAGAUGAAGCCAUACCUACUGAACCUGUUCCUUUGGGUCACUCCUUGGGUGAAUCUUCUCUGGGUAUACAGAUCAUGCCAUGGAAACAUCAAAGUUCACAUCCUCUUGAGAACAUCAUCUCUGAUCCAAAUACAGGAGUGCAAACCAGGUCAUCUCUGAGAAAUCUAUGUGCACUCACAGCAUUUCUCUCAUAGGUUGAACCUAAGACCAUCAAGGAAGUUAUAAAGGAUCCAGAUUGGAUUAUAGCCAUGCAAGAGGAGCUAAAUCAGUUUUAAAGAAGCAAGGUCUGGCACUUGGUACAAAUACCCAAGAACAGAAUUGUCAUAGGUACAAGAUGGGUGUUCAGAAACAAGGUGGAUAAACAAGAAAAUAUCACAAGGAACAAGGCCAAACUGGUGGUUCAGGGAUACAAUCAAGAGGAGGGCAUUGACUAUGAUGAGACUUUUGCACCUGUAGCUAGAAUGGAAGCUAUAAGAAUGUUGAUAGCUUUUGCUGCACACAUGGAGUUCACUUUGUAUCAGAUGGAUGUAAAGAGUGCCUUCUUGAAUGGUUAUAUAAAUAGAAAGUAUUUGUCAAACAACCUCAUGGGUUUGAAAGUGAAGAAUUUCCUAACUAUGUGUUCAAGUUAGAUAAAGCCAUGUAUGAACUGAAACAGGCUCCAAGAGCUUGGUAUGAAAGACUCAAAAUUCCUUUUAACCAACAAUUUUGUAAGAGGAAAGGUGGACAACACUCUAUUUCUAAAGAGCAAAGGAAAGAAUAUUCUGAUUGUGCAAGUGUAUGUGGAUGAUAUUAUCUUUGGGGCUACUAAUGAAGCAAUGUGCAAGGAAUUUGCUGAGAUGAUGGGAAAUGACUUGAAAUGAGCAUGAUGGGUGAACUGAACUUCUUCUUGGGCUACAAAUCAAGAAAACACCUACUGGAACCAUGAUACAUCAACAGAAAUACAUCAAAGAACCACUGAAGAAAUUCAACAUGGACUCCUCCAAGUCAAUUGACACUCCCAUUGCCAUUACAACAAAACUGGACUUUGAUGAAGAAGGGAAAAAUGUUGAACAUAAACUAUAUAGAGGAAUGAUUGGGACAUUAUUGUACUCAUAACAAGCAGGCCUGAUAUUAUAUUCAGUGUGAGACUGCAUGCAGAUUUCUAGCAAAUCCCAAGGAAUCUCACCUGAAGGCUGUCAAGAGGAUACUAAGAUAUCUCAAGGGGGGCCCUGACCUAUGCCUAUAGUAUCCUAUAGGGUAUAGCUUUGAUCUAUUUGGUUAUGAUAAUGCUGACAAUGCAAGCUUUCAUGUUGACAGGGAAAGCACUUCAUGGACAGCUCAUUUUCUAGGUUCGUAUCUGGUGUCUUAGGGAGAAAAGAAGCAAAACUCAGUGGCUUUAUCUACAGUUGAGGAUGAAUAUGUGGCAGCAGCAUCCUGCUGUGCUCAGUUGCUAUGGAUAAGACAGUAGCUAAGGAACUAUGUGCAGAAAAAAGUAAGGAGUUACUAAGGAGUUGGUUCUUCGACUCAGGGGGGAGAUAAGGUUGGGGGCAGUGAAUAUGUCUGUUUAUGGUGAAUAAGCAUGUCUUACUAUGAUUACCCGGUUCCGGUGUGGACAAAGUUUGUCAACAUUAAAAAGGGGGAAUUUGUUGAGUAUUGAGAUUUUGAUGAUUAACAAAGUUUGUUAAGAUUCAAUGUUCGAGAACCAGGUCCUUAAUGAAGUUGCUUCACUGUUUUAAGAACCAGGUCCUCAAGGCAAAGGAUCAGCUCCUCUGAUUGAUGAUUGUACAUCUGUGCAAAAUAGUAACUUAUCUCAAAGUUACUCAGGUCCGUGUUUGGUGGAAGAAGGCCGCUACAUGUGAUAAGGGUUGUUGCCCAAGAAGAUACGAAUAAUUCAGUAAGAGACAAGAGUCACAAAACUUGUGGAGUCCUUGGAACAGUAGGAGUCCUAUCAAACGAGAAGUUGACUAUGCAUAGGACUCCUAGAAGAUCUCAAAGUUCAUUCAUUAAAAUACUAUCUAUUUUGGACUUCUCAAUUCAUCCUUUUACACAUCAACUGAAGAAUUAUAUUUUGUUCACUCUAGUCGAGUACCAGUAGUUUAUUCUUCUUGAGUCAGUCUAGUGAAUGUGUUCUAGGAAAUCGAGCUGUAAUCAAGUGUCACAAGUAAUUACUGAGUUGGAGUGAGUGUUUCCUUUACAAGUUAGAGUAACUUGUAAAUCAAGUAGUCGUAGUAGCAGUACUUGAGAGUAUUGAAUUACAGUCUUAUAAUUGAUAUAUUUUGGCUCAUUGUUCUA